RNAcentral lists this ribosomal RNA (452 nucleotides) under uncultured Rhodococcus sp. Its description in RNAcentral is "bacterial SSU rRNA". It matches the Rfam family "Bacterial small subunit ribosomal RNA", at positions 930 to 1382 of the family's 1533-position model. Lineage: Bacteria; Bacillati; Actinomycetota; Actinomycetes; Mycobacteriales; Nocardiaceae. The record is from RNAcentral.
CGGCGGAGCAUGUGGAUUAAUUCGAUGCAACGCGAAGAACCUUACCUGGGUUUGACAUACACCGGAAAACCGUAGAGAUACGGUCCCCCUUGUGGUCGGUGUACAGGUGGUGCAUGGCUGUCGUCAGCUCGUGUCGUGAGAUGUUGGGUUAAGUCCCGCAACGAGCGCAACCCUUGUCUUAUGUUGCCAGCACGUGAUGGUGGGGACUCGUAAGAGACUGCCGGGGUCAACUCGGAGGAAGGUGGGGACGACGUCAAGUCAUCAUGCCCCUUAUGUCCAGGGCUUCACACAUGCUACAAUGGCCAGUACAGAGGGCUGCGAGACCGUGAGGUGGAGCGAAUCCCUUAAAGCUGGUCUCAGUUCGGAUCGGGGUCUGCAACUCGACCCCGUGAAGUCGGAGUCGCUAGUAAUCGCAGAUCAGCAACGCUGCGGUGAAUACGUUCCCGGGCCUU